This 1607-nucleotide ribosomal RNA is filed under the name Malaclemys terrapin terrapin. Its description in RNAcentral is "SSU rRNA". It matches the Rfam family "Eukaryotic small subunit ribosomal RNA", at positions 124 to 1604 of the family's 1831-position model. Lineage: Eukaryota; Metazoa; Chordata; Testudines; Emydidae. The record is from RNAcentral.
CCUAAAGGCUUUAAGAUGUACAUUGCAUGAGAAAUUUUUAACAUCCACUUUCUCUGUAAUUUUCAUGGAGCGCUUUAUCUUAAAUGACCACCACAGAAUCGCAACCGAUAUAAAAUGAAGAUUCUCCAAGAAAUUUGUCACCUGCAAUGAUCAGUAAUGUCUUUUGCUUUGUAAUUUUCACAAACCAAUAUGUUCGAAGUGGUCAGGAUAGAUUCAAAAUGGCUUUAAUGUGACGUUUCCAUGUGACUCUAGAUAACUUCAGGCCAAUCUCAUGCCCCCAUGGUAGCGACGAUGCAUGCGAAUGUCUGCCCUAUCAACUUUCGAUGCUACUUCCUGUGCCUACCAUGGUGACCAUGGGUAACAGGGAAUCAGGGUUCGAUUCCAGAGAUGGAGCAUGAGAAAUAGCUACUACAUCCAAGGGAGGCAGCAGGUGCGCAAAUUACCCACUCCCGACCCAGGGAGGUAGUCACGAAAAAUAAUAAUACAGGACUCUUUCAAGGCCCUGUAAUUGGAAUGAGUACACUUUAAAUCCUUUAACAAGGUUCAUUGGAGGGCAAGUCUGGUGCCGCAGCCAUGGUAAUUCCAGCUCCAAUAGUGUAUAUUAAAGUUGCUGCAAUUAAAAAGCUCACAGUUGGAUCUUGGGAUCUAGCUGGCGGUCUACCGCGAGGCGAGCUACCGCCUGUCCCAGCCCCUGCCUCUUGGCGCUCCCUUGAGGCUCUUAACUGAGUGUCCUGGGGGUCUGAAGCAUUUACUUUGAAAAAAUUUGAGUGUUCAAAGCAGGCUGGUCGCUGGAACACUCCAGCUAGGAAUAAUGGAAUAGGACUCCGGUUCUAUUUUGUUGGUUUUUGGAACUGGGGCCAUGAUUAAGAGGGAUGGCCGGGGGCAUUUGUAUUCGGACCGGCACAAGAUGGACCAAAGUGAAAGCAUUUGCCAAGAAUAUUUUCAUUAAUCAAGAACGAAAGUCGCAGGUUUGAAGACUAUCAGAUACCAUCGUAGUUCCGACCAUAACAAUGCCGACUAGAGAUCCAGCGGCGUUAUUCCCAUGACCCGCUGGGUAGUUUAUUGGAAACCUAAGUCUUUGGGUUCCAGGGGAGGGGGGGGUGUGUGUGGUUGCAAAGCUGAACCUUAAAGAAAUUGACAGAAGGGCACCACUAGGAGUGGAGCCUGCAGCUUAAUUGACUCACCCGGCCUGGACACAGAAAGGACUGACAGAUUGAUAGCUCUUUCUCGAUUCUGUGGGUGGUGGUGCAUGGCUGUUCUUAGUUGGUGGAGCGAUUUGUCUGGUUAAUGGCGAUAAUGAACAAGACUCUGGCAUGCUAACUAGUUAUGCGACCCCCCCCCCGAGUGGUCAGUGUCUAACUUUUUAGAGGGACAAGUGGUGUUCAGCCACCCAAGAUUGAGCAAUAACAGGUUUGUGACCUGUGAAGAUUCACAUGUUAAUAGAUUGAGCUCCUUGAGUCUAUUGCUAAGAGGCAGAUUUUCCAAUCCUUUAAUGCUUCUCAUGGCUCUUUGCUGACCCUUCUCCAAUUUAUCAACAUCCUUCUUGAAUUGUACACACCAGAACUGGACACAAGAUUCCAGCAGCGGUUGCACCAGUGCCAAAAUAC